RNAcentral lists this ribosomal RNA (253 nucleotides) under uncultured bacterium. RNAcentral describes it as "partial 16S ribosomal RNA". It matches the Rfam family "Bacterial small subunit ribosomal RNA", at positions 524 to 776 of the family's 1533-position model. The record is from RNAcentral.
UACGGGGGGUGCAACCGUUGCUCGGAAUUAUUGGGCGUAAAGCGCACGUAGGCGGCUUUCUAAGUCAGGGGUGAAAUCCUGGAGCUCAACUCCAGAACUGCCUUUGAUACUGGAGAGCUUGAGUUCGGGAGAGGGAUGCGGAAUUCCAGGUGUAGCGGUGAAAUGCGUAGAUAUCUGGAGGAACACCGGUGGCGAAGGCGGCAUCCUGGACCGAUACUGACGCUGAGGAGCGAAAGCCAGGGGAGCAAACGGG